CAAUUACCUGUCUCCAGACACAAUCUCCUCAUAGAAUUUGACCCCACCCCUUCAUCAAUUCCUGCGGUACAGCCACACCCCUCUCUUCUCAUUGGCCGCGACUAGCUGUCAAUCACCUGGCUCCAGACAGAAUCUCCUCAGGCUAAAGAGAAGGGGGCCGAUUUAUGCCCAUAGCAACCAAUCACAGAGCAGUUUGUAUUCUGCUCCUUGUAAACUGAUGACUGUGUCCUGAUUGGUUGAUGGGGAACAAAGUAAAAAACAAUAAACUCUGGCCAUAAAACCAGCAUCUGCGGUAACAAGAAAAUGACAACCUGCAGUAAUGGGAACUGAGACUAGAUGGCGCCAGAGUACACUAUAACAUAGACAGUAAAGAGGAAGCUGCUGCUAUUGCUGCUUACCAUCACAAGAGGACGCCACCUGUAAGAAAGAGAAGACAUGACAGUCAGCAAAAUGUGCGCAGAUGCAUGUAUGCAGCGGAGUACGGCGUAUUCGGUGGAUUACGGGGUUGAACUAGAUUUUUUUUUCUUUAAAUAAAAUGGCUAACGAGGGCUGUGGGGGAGUGUCUUUUUUUUAUUAAAUAAUUUUUCCAAUGUGUCAUGUUUUUUUCUAAAUUGAAUUUUAAGGUUAAGUAGUGGAGGCUUUCUUAUUGACGGGAUUAAUUACUAAGCCAGGGCUUAGCUUUUGACCCAAAAACAGCUAGCGCUAACCCCCAAUUAUUACACCACUACUCACCACAACAGGGGUGCCAGAAGAGCCAGUACCAACAGGGCCGGAGCUUCAAAAAUGGUGCUCUUGGGCCUAGGCGGUAACAGGCUGGCGUUAUUUAGGCUGGGGAGG
This is a long non-coding RNA of Hyla sarda, 837 nucleotides long. RefSeq lists it as uncharacterized. The transcript is spliced from 3 exons. NCBI's taxonomy places the organism in Eukaryota, Metazoa, Chordata, Amphibia, Anura, Hylidae. The record is from RefSeq and is a predicted model, not a curated record.